GGCGUGGGUAGCUCAACAGCAGAGUCCCCGGUUGUGAUCCGGGUGGAUGCGGGUGCAACUCCCGUCCCUCGCCC
Molecule: transfer RNA, 74 nt
Filed under: Thermoleophilia bacterium
Lineage: Bacteria; Bacillati; Actinomycetota; Thermoleophilia
Description: tRNA-His
Rfam family: tRNA
About the family: Transfer RNA (tRNA) molecules are approximately 80 nucleotides in length.
Source: RNAcentral